UUUUAAAUUUUGACUUUUCCUUUUUAUAGGUUGACUAGCUCAGAUGUAUGUGCUAGGAAAAUUACUAAGUUGUUCAAAGAAAGAAUAGAUCCCAAUGGUUAUGCAUGGGGACAACUUAGUGUUGAGACAGUUGAAUUUUAUUGGGAAGAAUUCAAGAAAUUUUUUGAGUGGGAUGCUACUAAAACUGCUGUAGUGUAUAAUGCUUGGGAGAUAAAGGCUAAAAGAAGAUAUGCUGAUUACAUAAGCAGAAUAAGGAAAAUGCCAAGACCUCCUUAUGUCCCACCAGAAAUAUGGACAAAAUGGAAUGAUGUUUGGAAUUCUGAGGAGGGCAAGAAGAAAAUAGAAUUGGCUAAGAGAAAUAGGCGUGGAGGAGUUUUAACUGGAGUUGCUCAAUCUACCCAUACCACAGGAUGAACACCUCACGUAAAAGUUGCAGCUCAACUUGAAGGACAAUUGGGUCAUUGUCCAUCGUAUUAUGAACUAUUCAGGCAUACACAUACGAAACAACACGA
Ipomoea nil (Japanese morning glory) is the source of this 512-nucleotide long non-coding RNA. RefSeq lists it as uncharacterized. The transcript is spliced from 3 exons. The record is from RefSeq and is a predicted model, not a curated record. Lineage: Eukaryota; Viridiplantae; Streptophyta; Magnoliopsida; Solanales; Convolvulaceae.